CUUAAGAUGUACUCUGCAUUUAAUUUCUUGUCGAGUAUCUGUGACGCUCGUAGAUGUCUGGAUCAUCAACAUAGUCUGAAGGGAUAUCAGUCCAACCCUCUAGCCAAGCUGCACCGUACUUUCGAAUAUUCAUCAUCCCAUAAGGCAUCCUCUCUGGAUUGUAAGACAUCUCAGAUCUCUCGCUAAAAUUCUGAUUCUGAGAAGUAUCCUCAAGAUGAUGGUAUGGUUGUGGAGG
RNAcentral lists this long non-coding RNA (235 nucleotides) under Elaeis guineensis (African oil palm). RNAcentral's name for it is "long non-coding RNA (EGUI_LNC011829)". The record is from RNAcentral. Lineage: Eukaryota; Viridiplantae; Streptophyta; Magnoliopsida; Arecales; Arecaceae.